Molecule: ribosomal RNA, 571 nt
Filed under: uncultured archaeon
Lineage: Archaea
Description: bacterial SSU rRNA
Rfam family: Archaeal small subunit ribosomal RNA
Source: RNAcentral
UUUCUGGUUGAUCCUGCCGGACCUGACUGCUAUCGGAUUGGUACUAAGCCAUGCGAGUCGUUGUACAAUACAAGGCGAACUGCUCAGUAACACGUAGUUAACCUAACCUAUGGAUGGGGAUAACCUCGGGAAACUGAGAAUAAUACCCAAUAGAUCACAGUGCCUGGAAUGGCCUGUGAUUGAAAUGAUUUAUCGCUGUAGGAUGGGACUGCGGCCUAUCAGCUUGUUGGUGAGGUAAUGGCCCACCAAGGCUAUAACAGGUACGGGCUCUGAGAGGAGGGGCCCGGAGAUGGGUACUGAGACACGGACCCAGGCCCUAUGGGGCGCAGCAGGCGAGAAACCUUUGCAAUGUGCGAAAGCACGACAAGGUUAAUCCGAGUGUCUCCUGCUAAAGGAGUCUUUUGUCAGUUGUAGAAUCACUGGCGAAUAAGGGGUGGGCAAGUUCUGGUGUCAGCCGCCGCGGUAAAACCAGCACCUCGAGUGGUCAGGAGGUUUAUUGGGCCUAAAGCAUCCGUAGCCGGUUGCAUAAGUUUUCGGUUAAAUCUAUGCGCUCAACGUAUAGGCCGCCGAA